GGGUGCUUAGCUCAAUGGUUAGAGCAGUCGGCUCAUAACCGAUUGGUUGCAGGUUCAAGUCCUGUAGCACCCA
This 73-nucleotide transfer RNA is filed under the name Verrucomicrobiota bacterium. RNAcentral's name for it is "Verrucomicrobia bacterium (freshwater metagenome) tRNA-Met". It matches the Rfam family "tRNA". From Rfam's summary of the family: Transfer RNA (tRNA) molecules are approximately 80 nucleotides in length. The record is from RNAcentral. Lineage: Bacteria; Pseudomonadati; Verrucomicrobiota.